RNAcentral lists this transfer RNA (92 nucleotides) under Betaproteobacteria bacterium RIFCSPLOWO2_02_FULL_67_26. RNAcentral's name for it is "tRNA-Ser". It matches the Rfam family "tRNA". From Rfam's summary of the family: Transfer RNA (tRNA) molecules are approximately 80 nucleotides in length. Their secondary structure includes four short double-helical elements and three loops (D, anti-codon, and T loops). The record is from RNAcentral. RNAcentral also lists the same sequence under 2 other names. Lineage: Bacteria; Pseudomonadati; Pseudomonadota; Betaproteobacteria.
GGAGAGGUGGAUGAGUGGUUUAAGUCACACGCCUGGAAAGCGUGCGUACGGUGAAAGCCGUACCGCGGGUUCGAAUCCCGCCCUCUCCGCCA